Molecule: ribosomal RNA, 251 nt
Filed under: uncultured bacterium
Lineage: Bacteria
Description: partial 16S ribosomal RNA
Rfam family: Bacterial small subunit ribosomal RNA
Source: RNAcentral
ACAAGGGGUGACCUGGAGCGAAUCUCAGAAAUAACGUCUCAGUUCGGAUUGUAGUCUGCAACUCGACUACAUGAAGCUGGAAUCGCUAGUAAUCGCGGAUCAGAAUGCCGCGGUGAAUACGUUCCCGGGUCUUGUACACACCGCCCGUCACACCAUGGGAGUCGGGAAUGCCCGAAGCCAGUGACCCAAGCGAGAGCAGGGAGCUGUCGAAGGCAGGCCGGAUAACUGGGGUGAAGUCGUAACAAGGUAAC